GUGCCCGUAGCUCAGCAGGAUAGAGCAUCGGAUUCCUAAUCCGGAGGCCGAGGUUCGAAUCCUCUCGGGCACACCA
RNAcentral lists this transfer RNA (76 nucleotides) under Sphingopyxis sp. RNAcentral's name for it is "tRNA-Arg". It matches the Rfam family "tRNA". From Rfam's summary of the family: Transfer RNA (tRNA) molecules are approximately 80 nucleotides in length. Their secondary structure includes four short double-helical elements and three loops (D, anti-codon, and T loops). The record is from RNAcentral. Lineage: Bacteria; Pseudomonadati; Pseudomonadota; Alphaproteobacteria; Sphingomonadales; Sphingopyxidaceae.